Molecule: long non-coding RNA, 1070 nt
Organism: Nothoprocta perdicaria
Lineage: Eukaryota; Metazoa; Chordata; Aves; Tinamiformes; Tinamidae
Exons: 2
Source: RefSeq, a predicted model, not a curated record
UCUGACUGAUGGCUCCAUACGAGGUGACACCGGGGCCAGCUGAGCUGUCCUUGCAGGACCACACACUUGCAUUUCAGCCUCUUCAUUUCACACUGCAGCUGAACUGCUGAAGAUGCUUGGUUUCCAUGAAGAUGCAGGAUUGUGAACCUGGGUAGCUGCGACACAAACAACACCCAGCCUUUCGCCAACUCUGCUGUGGGUCAGGAGCUUCCAGCAGGGCAGUGCUAAUACAGUUUUCUAACUAUGGAAGAUCUCCUGUGGAGUUGCAUCAUGCUCUGCUGCCCCUAGAACUGUGCACAUAUAUUUGGGAGUGAUGAAGAACUGCAAUGUACUGCUGCAUAUUGCUUUAGUGAUGAGAGAGGCUCUCUGGCAUGUCAUACAGCACCAAAAUCCAUUCCAGUGUUGACAGCAAAAAUCCUUAUCAUUUUUGUAUUUUUUUCCAACACAACUGAAAUCUGUUGUGGAUUCUUUGUAUGCAAAUCCAGGUGGUACUGCAACAGCAAAAACAGCCCUGAAAGCAGUCACCAAGAUAAACUUGGAAAGGGGAACAUUCCUGGUUAUCAUUUUUUUAACAUUUGGUUUUCUUUUUUUAGUUCUGUGCAAGAUACUUCUUUCCUCUCCCUUUCUUACAGUAGUUAAUGUUUKUUCUGGCAGAGCUCUUAUUAUAUGAAUUACAGUUCUUCUUGCAUUUUAUUUGGCUCCAUAUCAAUAUACAUGAAUAAGAGGCAGAAAGUGCUGGAAAUUGUCAUUAACAGUCCUUGUUACUCUGCUCUGGUGUUUCCUGAUGUUGAACCUCGUAUUGCAAAUUGCAAUAUGCCUGUAGUGAUGAUCAGUUCAGGAAGGUGUGCUCAGGAACCCAGGAAAGUAAAGAGAAAUGGAAAACAAAAAGAAACGAAUUCUGAARAUACUUGGACUGAAGGAAUCAAAUUGAAGCAAUAUAUUUUGGGUCCCUGCUGUCUUAGGUUGCUGAAGUUCAAGGAGUAAAGCCUGGUUUCUUUGGAAAAUUUGGCAAGGUUUUUGACAGUGWCUUAAACAGAAGUAGGAUUUGAUCCUCCUGAAGCAGCUUAAGA